UCAAUAAGCGGAGGAAAAGAAACUAACAAGGAUUCCCCUAGUAACGGCGAGUGAAGAGGGAAGAGCCCAAGAUUGAAAGCUGGCGUCUUCGACGUCCGCAUUGUAAUCUCAAGAAGCGUUUUCCGCUUCGGACCAUGCCUAAGUCCCUUGGAAAAGGGCAUCAUAGAGGGUGAUAAUCCCGUACAUGGCAUGGAGCGCCCGAAGCUUUGUGAUACGUUUUCUAAGAGUCGAGUUGUUUGGGAAUGCAGCUCAAAAUGGGUGGUAAAUGCCAUCUAAGGCUAAAUAUUGGGGAGAGACCGAUAGCGAACAAGUACAGUGAUGGAAAGAUGAAAAGAACUUUGAAAAGAGAGUUAAACAGUACGUGAAAUUGCCAAAAGGGAAGGGUAGGAGGUCAGAGAUGCGUCUUGGAAUUCAGCCUUGCUUUUUGCUUGGUGUUUUUUCCAAGUUUGCAGGCCAACGUCGGUUUUGGGCACUGGAGAAGGGUGGAAGGAACGUGGCACCCCUCGGGGUGUGUUAUAGCCUUCUACUGGAUACAGCGACCGAGACCGAGGACAGCAGCGUACUCGCAAGAGCGGGCCCUCGGGCACCUUUACGCUUAGGGCGUUGGCAUAAUGGCCCUCUACCACCCGUCUUGAAAC
This 638-nucleotide ribosomal RNA is filed under the name Sporisorium ophiuri. RNAcentral's name for it is "LSU rRNA". It matches the Rfam family "Eukaryotic large subunit ribosomal RNA", at positions 43 to 660 of the family's 3401-position model. Lineage: Eukaryota; Fungi; Basidiomycota; Ustilaginomycetes; Ustilaginales; Ustilaginaceae. The record is from RNAcentral.